UCAUCUCCUCAGAGGCCCGUGAUCCCGUUGGGAGUAGAGCGGCUAGCGAGAUGCCGCAUCAUUGCUGUAUCUAACACGCAUUUUAUUUGCACUAGAAAAUAAAUUCGUUGGCUACAUCGACGUGGUCCUCUGCUGUCAUCGUUCCCCACACCCGCACACACAACGCAGAGAGAGGGUCAGAGAGUUGGGCCAGACCGGCUACAGUGGUGCCGUGAACCGGAUCCACGCUGCUUCAGACUGGUUCAGACUGGUUCGUCGUGAUUCCUGGAGCAGUGGAUCAACACCAGCUUGGACACCGGAGGUUGCCCUCAGUUACAUCCUGCAUCCAGAAGAUUUCCAGAGCAGUAUCUGCAUCGUUUUAGCUGAAUGGAGGAGCUUUGAAGGCCUCAGACACACAUCUGUGACUGUAAGACGUGAAUUUGGGACGUUCUGGAUCCGACUGGCGGCUUCCUGCUGUUGGAAAUGUCAUCGUCUCCAUUAACAGCAGAGAAACGCCGAAAAGGCUGCUGCUGCCUCACACUCGAUAGUGAUGAAGGAGGAAUUCAUCUGUGAGGUCAGUCGAUACCCACCGCGAUGGAGAGUCGCUGCUCUGCCUUCAGCCUCUAAGACGAUCAGGACGGAUAUUAAAAAACAUGUGAGGCUACAGAUCCUCAGCAGAUCAACCCUCAGACCUCGUAGAUCCAAACCUCCAGAUGUGGGUUCAGUCUGGAGCUCCUGAUGUGUGACCCUCCUCCUCCAUCCCAUGUUCUCCAUCACUCUGGGCUGUCAAACAUCCCCACCAGACCACUGUUCCUGCAGAUGGAAAGCGGUGAUUUGAGGCUCCUCUGAACUACUGAGUGCAGUGAAAUGGACGUUUAUUUACAUGAAAAUGCCACGGCUUAUUACCACAACACUGAUUCAGAGCAGGCGUCGGGAUUGAUAACCCCAUAAAGCAAACAGCGCCGGCCUUAUAAAACACAGGAACAGUGGAGCAUGAGCUCCCCGAGUAUAAACAAUCCAGCCCAUAAUAUGAGCCGGUGAUGUAAUGAUUCCAGCCAUGAUGUGACCCACUUUGUUUCCAUGGGUAACUCACUUAGAGACACAUUACGCUGGAUGGAUGAAUGGCUGGAUGGAGGGAUGAAUAGAGCAGGAAGUUGGAAGAGUGAAAGUAGCAGUUCCUCCUGAAGGUCAGAGAUUGCAGCAUCUGAGGGCCUCUUCAAAAGAAGACGUAGUUGAUGAAGGCGUUCUGGAGCAGGACCAGAAAGACCACGACCAAGCAGCCUUGAGAUCUUAGGCAGCGUCUCCCUCAGGUCCCUCUCUAUCUCCCCACACAUCCACCAACCACUGGAACACAUCUCCAAAGUUCUGCUGGACCAGCUCAGCUUCCCCUC
Long non-coding RNA from Amphiprion ocellaris (clown anemonefish), 1370 nucleotides. The record is from Ensembl. Lineage: Eukaryota; Metazoa; Chordata; Actinopteri; Pomacentridae.